GCAGUCGAACGAACUCUGGUAUUGAUUGGUGCUUGCAUCAUGAUUUACAUUUGAGUGAGUGGCGAACUGGUGAGUAACACGUGGGAAACCUGCCCAGAAGCGGGGGAUAACACCUGGAAACAGAUGCUAAUACCGCAUAACAACUUGGACCGCAUGGUCCGAGCUUGAAAGAUGGCUUCGGCUAUCACUUUUGGAUGGUCCCGCGGCGCUCUCACUAGAUGGUGGGGUAACGGCUCACCAUGGCAAUGAUACGUAGCCGACCUGAGAGGGUAAUCGGCCACAUUGGGACUGAUACACCGCCCAAACUCCUACAGGAGGCAGCAGUAGGGAAUCUUCCACAAUGGACGAAAGUCUGAUGGAGCAACGCCGCGUGAGUGAAGAAGGGUUUCGGCUCGUAAAACUCUGUUGUUAAAGAAGAACAUAUCUGAGAGUAACUGUUCAGGUAUUGACGGUAUUUAACCAGAAAGCCACGGCUAACUACGUGCCAGCAGCCGCGGUAAUACGUAGGUGGCAAGCGUUGUCCGGAUUUAUUGGGCGUAAAGCGAUGACGGGCGGUGUGUACAAGGCCCGGGAACGUAUUCACCGCGGCAUGCUGAUCCGCGAUUACUAGCGAUUCCGACUUCAUGUAGGCGAGUUGCAGCCUACAAUCCGAACUGAGAAUGGCUUUAAGAGAUUAGCUUACUCUCGCGAGUUCGCAACUCGUUGUACCAUCCAUUGUAGCACGUGUGUAGCCCAGGUCAUAAGGGGCAUGAUGAUUUGACGUCAUCCCCACCUUCCUCCGGUUUGUCACCGGCAGUCUCACCAGAGUGCCCAACUUAAUGCUGGCAACUGAUAAUAAGGGUUGCGCUCGAUGCGGGACUGCACAAGCGGUGGAGCAUGUGGUUUAAUUGAAGUACGCGAAGAACCUUACCAGGUCUUGACAUACUAUGCAAAUCUAAGAGAUUAGACGUUCCCUUGGGGGACAUGGAUACAGGUGGUGCAUGGUUGUCGUCAGCUCCUGUCGUGAGAUGUUGGGUUAAGUCCCGCAACGAGCGCAACCCUUAUUAUCAGUUGCCAGCAUUAAGUUGGGCACUCUGGUGAGACUGCCGGUGACAAACCGGAGGAAGGUGGGGAUGACGUCAAAUGAUCAUGCCCCUUAUGACCUGGGCUACACACGUGCUUCAAUGGAUGGUACAACGAGUUGCGAACUCGCGUGAGUAAGCUAAUCUCUUAAAGCCAUUCUCAGUUGGGAUUGUAGGCUGCAACUGGCCUACAUGAAGUCGGAAUCGCUAGUAAUCGCGGAUCAGCAUGCCGCGGUGAAUACGUUCCCGGGCCUUGUACACACCGCCCGUCACACCAUGAGAGUUUGUAACACCCAAAGUCGGUGGGGUAACCUUUUAGGAACCAGCCGCCUAAGGUGGGACAGAUGAUUAGGGUGAAGUCGUAACAAGGUAGCCGUU
This 1439-nucleotide ribosomal RNA is filed under the name Lactiplantibacillus plantarum. Its description in RNAcentral is "bacterial SSU rRNA". It matches the Rfam family "Bacterial small subunit ribosomal RNA". Lineage: Bacteria; Bacillati; Bacillota; Bacilli; Lactobacillales; Lactobacillaceae. The record is from RNAcentral.